Molecule: ribosomal RNA, 434 nt
Filed under: uncultured bacterium
Lineage: Bacteria
Also listed under: 1 other name
Description: bacterial SSU rRNA
Rfam family: Bacterial small subunit ribosomal RNA
Source: RNAcentral
AACGCGAAGAACCUUACCUACUCUUGACAUCCAGAGAACUUUCCAGAGAUGGAUUGGUGCCUUCGGGAACUCUGAGACAGGUGCUGCAUGGCUGUCGUCAGCUCGUGUUGUGAAAUGUUGGGUUAAGUCCCGCAACGAGCGCAACCCUUAUCCUUUGUUGCCAGCGGUUCGGCCGGGAACUCAAAGGAGACUGCCAGUGAUAAACUGGAGGAAGGUGGGGAUGACGUCAAGUCAUCAUGGCCCUUACGAGUAGGGCUACACACGUGCUACAAUGGCGUAUACAAAGAGAAGCGACCUCGCGAGAGCAAGCGGACCUCAUAAAGUACGUCGUAGUCCGGAUUGGAGUCUGCAACUCGACUCCAUGAAGUCGGAAUCGCUAGUAAUCGUAGAUCAGAAUGCUACGGUGAAUACGUUCCCGGGCCUUGUACACACCG